This 970-nucleotide ribosomal RNA is filed under the name uncultured bacterium. RNAcentral's name for it is "bacterial SSU rRNA". It matches the Rfam family "Bacterial small subunit ribosomal RNA", at positions 66 to 1055 of the family's 1533-position model. The record is from RNAcentral.
GGGGCAUUUCUCCCGCUUCGGUGGGAGGAGCGACCGGCGCACGGGUGAGUAACGCGUAUGGAACUUACCUACAACAGGGGUAUAGCUUUCGGAAACGGGAAUUAAUCCCCCAUAAUGUUCAUUGGUGGCCUCACCGAUGGAUUAAAGCUCAGGCGGUUGUAGAUGGUCAUGCGUUCCAUUAGUUAGUUGGUAGAGUAACGGCCUACCAAGGCAAUGAUGGAUAGGGGUUCUGAGAGGAUAGUCCCCCACACUGGUACUGAGACACGGACCAGACUCCUACGGGAGGCAGCAGUGAGGAAUAUUGGUCAAUGGGCGAAAGCCUGAACCAGCCAUGUCGCGUGCAGGACGACGGCCCUAUGGGUUGUAAACUGCUUUUCUACAGGAAGAAUGUCAUCUACGAGUAGGUGUUUGCCUGUACUGUAGGAAUAAGCAUCGGCUAACUCCGUGCCAGCAGCCGCGGUAAUACGGAGGAUGCGAGCGUUAUCCGGAUUCAUUGGGUUUAAAGGGUGCGUAGGCGGCCUAAUAAGUCAGUGGUGAAAUUUUGUAGCUCAACUACAAGCGUGCCAUUGAAACUGUUAGGCUUGAGUUCAGACGAGGAAGGCGGAAUGUGUUAUGUAGCGGUGAAAUGCAUAGAUAUAACACAGAACCCCGAUAGCGAAGGCAGCUUUCCAGACUGAAACUGACGCUGAUGCACGAAAGCGUGGGUAGCGAACAGGAUUAGAUACCCUGGUAGUCCACGCCGUAAACGAUGAUCACUGGUUGUAGGCGAUACACCGUCUGUGACUGAGCGAAAGUAUUAAGUGAUCCACCUGGGGAGUACGUCGGCACGAUGAACUCAAAGGAUUGACGGGGCCCGCACAAGCGGAGGAACAUGUGGUUUAAUCGAUGAUACGCGAGGACCUACUGGACUAAUGUAGAUGCAUAGAUAGAGUAGUCUUUUCUCGGACUAUUACAGUGCUGCAUGUUGCGU